RNAcentral lists this ribosomal RNA (253 nucleotides) under uncultured bacterium. RNAcentral's name for it is "partial 16S ribosomal RNA". It matches the Rfam family "Bacterial small subunit ribosomal RNA", at positions 524 to 776 of the family's 1533-position model. RNAcentral also lists the same sequence under 1 other name. The record is from RNAcentral.
UACGGAGGGUGCGAGCGUUGUCCGGAAUCACUGGGCGUAAAGGGCGCGUAGGCGGCUCGGUAAGUAGGGGGUGAAAUCCUGCGGCUUAACCGCAGGGCUGCCUUCUAAACUGUCGAGCUCGAGCACGGUAGAGGCAGAUGGAAUUCCCGGUGUAGCGGUGGAAUGCGUAGAGAUCGGGAAGAACAUCAGUGGCGAAGGCGGUCUGCUGGGCCGUUGCUGACGCUGAGGCGCGACAGCGUGGGGAGCAAACAGG